Carica papaya (papaya) is the source of this 2995-nucleotide non-coding RNA. The record is from RefSeq and is a predicted model, not a curated record. Lineage: Eukaryota; Viridiplantae; Streptophyta; Magnoliopsida; Brassicales; Caricaceae.
UAUUUUCUAUAUUUUCUACAUGGUAUCAAAGGUUAGUUGGGAAGCUCAUAUAUUUGGCACGUACGAGACCAAAUAUAAAUUUUGCAGUCAGCACAGUGAGCCAGUUUAUGAGUCAACCAACUAACACACACAUGGGAACUGUGUACAAGAUUCUCAGGUAUCUAAAGAAAAUACUAGGACAAUGUCUAUUUUUCCAAAAGAACACAGACAUGGAGAUAGGAGUUUAUAGUAGAAAAUGUAGAAUAUAACUGUUAUUCUAGAAGGAAAACAACUAUCAUCUCUUUUGUCUUUUCUUGUGUACUGUAGAAAGGAGAAUAACAGAAUUGGUGGUGUGUCAUUUAUACCAAUUCUGAAUAUUCCCUUACCCCACAAAAUCUGGCUCUGGUGUAGAAAAGUUAUUAUUUAUUUGUGUAUAAAUAUGCUCCUUUGGAGCUGGAAAAUGAAAGUAGAAAAUAGAGGAAAAACUUCCCUCAAAAUAGCUUCAUAAUUUCUUUAGUAUUCUCACUAUGGACAAAUUAAGAAGGAGGGGGCAGUUUAUUGUUAACAUAUGCUACCUUUGUAUGUGUAGAGAGGAAACUUGCAAUCACUUACUUUUAUGGUGCCCCCUGACCUAUAGUGUGUGGUGCAUAAUUUAUGGGCUGCUGGGGAUUAAUUGGGUUGUGGCUGGGAAUGUUAGGGAUGAAAUUUGAGCUUGGGAGGGGCUUAAGAUCAAUGGUUGUGUUCCUACUUUGGUUCCAUUGACCGUGUUUUGGGUUAUUUGGAAAGAACGAAAUGUUAGAGCAUUUAAGGGGAAAGGAGUAGGAUUAUAUAAAUUAAGAGAUAGAUGGUUUAAUUAUUUUGGGACAAACUUGUUAGGGCGUGAUAUGAUGAAUGAGGAGGAUUUUGAGAUUGUCAUUGAUAUGCUUACUACUCUAUAAUUCUUUUGUAAAUGGGUUGGUACCCCUGUUUUGGUACCAUGUUAAUAUACUAAUACAUUUGAAUUUUUUUUAAAAAAAAUUCAAAUGUUAGAAGACUAUGCUGUGUUAACAUAAUCGAAAUAGAAUUCACACAGUAAUUUUGAUGGAUCAAUCCUGAUUGCUUUCCACUUGUUAAUUUGGAAGUGGUGAAAAAUGUUAGCUUCUGUUUGGUAGACAAAAACAUCUUGUAAUUUUUUCCUUUGCAAAUUCAUGUAUGUUUGUGCAUAUAUUAGAAACCAUAGAGGAUGGUAUAUGUAUGGCACUCUAGAAAUGAUAUAGGAUAGUUUGUAUAUUGUGUGGCACUCCAAGCAUAAACAAAAACAAUUUUUUAUCUUAAUUAAAAUUUUACCACAUUUAUACUGUUAUUUUGUAAAUGUUGUUUUGAUUUUGAUGCAUAAAAAUAUGGUCAGUUGCAAAACAUAAAAUACAAAUUAUUUCGUAUACCAAAUGAAGACUUAAACAUGAUGGUAGAUUCUUCGAGAUUUUUUUUUCUCAUGUAGAUUCAGCAUUUUCAUUUUCUAUGCUUAAACAGAUGUUACCAGUGUUGCACAAUUUCUUUAGUUUUAGAAGAACCAAUGUUGGUUGUUUUUUGCUUAAGAGAAAUUACUGACUACUCCUAAGGUUUGGAGAUGUGCUUUCCUUAAGUAUUUGAAAGGCCAGUAUUAGGCCAUUCGAGGACUAUCAUUAUCUCUUUUGUUUGCAGAGAAGAGAGUUAUAUUUGUUUGUAUGAAACUACUAGGCUGAUUCUGUAAGCUCUGUGAACUACGUUGUUUUGGAUUUAUUCUUCUGGUAUACAAAAAGAGUUUAUUUGUCUAGUAUUUAAUUGUUAUUUCAAUUCAGAAAUGCUAAUAAAUCAGAGAGGAAUAUCUGGAACGAAUAUUGGAUAUUGUGAAGCUGUUACAUAUCAUAAAGUUCAGUAAUUCUGAUAAAGUAUAUUUUCAUGCUUUUUGAAUGUGCUUUCAGACCAUUUCUAGUUCUGUUAUAAUGGUGCAUUGAACUAGUGAGAAUUGCUUCAUAAGGACAAUGCCAAUUGUCUCUCUAUUAAAAACAGAUCUGAAUUCGGUUUUGACUUGCCAACUUUAGAGUUUGUUAACAAGCAUGAGACCUGGAUUCCAAAUACUUCUAAAGUUAUUGUCUUACAGGUUCAAGAGCAACUUAGUGCCACUGAAUAUAAGGAAUUUGUGGGAUACAUGAAGACAAUUAAAUCCAAAACAAUGAAGAUUGGUGAUGUUCUGCAGUCCAUUGUUGAAUUAUUCUCUGGACCUGAGAGACAUUCUCUUCUUAGAAGAUUCAAGGAUUAUGUACCUGCCAAGUAUCACUCCUUAUAUGAGAAGUGUGUUGAACAGGUAAUGAACUAUUGAGAAAUCAAAUUACAAAAUCGUCGCAACAAUUUACGUAUCCAAGGACUUGAUGCGGUCAAGUUGAUUCAGAGACUGUCAAGAAGAAAAAUAUUAUGGCAAGGACCAGGAUCAUUAUAAGUUAUACUGUUGAGAAGGAUGAUACUUAAUUUACCCCAGGAAAAACAUUCUUGGUUAGCUGCUAACUUUUUCUGGCACUAGAGGGUGCAUGCAUGGCACAAGUAAAAGCAGCAGUCCUGACAAAUUGACCAAGAGUUAUUCUAUAUUAUGAUUUAGUGCUCUAGUUUGUGAGUUUACUGCAGCGGAGUCCAUUCUUUUUGGAGAGUAAUGCUUGGAACAGUGACAAAGAUUUGGCUACCUUUUCUACUCCUGCUCUCUGGUGACGGAGACUUUAGAUUGCCAAGAUUCUUGGACAAUUGAGUCAAUAUUGGUGCUUAUAUUCUUGUGAAGGUUGCUUAUAAUCAUAGAGCUGACGGAUGUACUACCAUGGAUAUAGAAAUUGCAUUCGUGGAGUUAGUUCUAUUGUGUUUUUUUAAAAGAAGGUUUAUGUACAUUGGUGGUGAACAUACAUUCCACCUUUAGAAGAAAAACGCAAAUUAGAUAAUGGGUUUUGUUAUAUAUUCUAUUAAAAUAUUGAUCAACUAUGAAGAGAUUGAAUGAUGAUUUCCUGAAUUACAUAAA